This 462-nucleotide ribosomal RNA is filed under the name uncultured bacterium. Its description in RNAcentral is "bacterial SSU rRNA". It matches the Rfam family "Bacterial small subunit ribosomal RNA", at positions 337 to 796 of the family's 1533-position model. The record is from RNAcentral.
UCCUACGGGAGGCAGCAGUGAGGAAUAUUGGACAAUGGCCGAGAGGCUGAUCCAGCCAUGCCGCGUGCGGGAGGACGGCCCUAUGGGUUGUAAACCGCUUUUGUUGGGGAGCAAUAAGUCUUACGUGUAAGAUGAUGAGAGUACCCAGCGAAUAAGCAUCGGCUAACUCCGUGCCAGCAGCCGCGGUAAUACGGAGGAUGCGAGCGUUAUCCGGAUUUAUUGGGUUUAAAGGGUGCGUAGGCGGGCUGUUAAGCGUGAGGUGAAAGCUCGGGGCUCAACCCCGGAACUGCCUCGCGAACUGGCGGUCUUGAAUGUCCGUGCCGUGGGAGGAAUGUGUGGUGUAGCGGUGAAAUGCAUAGAGAUCACACAGAACACCGAUUGCGAAGGCAUCUCACGAACGGAUGAUUGACGCUGAGGCACGAAAGCGUGGGGAUCAAACAGGAUUAGAUACCCUGGUAGUCC